Molecule: ribosomal RNA, 508 nt
Filed under: Synalpheus macclendoni
Lineage: Eukaryota; Metazoa; Arthropoda; Malacostraca; Decapoda; Alpheidae
Description: partial 16S ribosomal RNA
Rfam family: Bacterial large subunit ribosomal RNA
Source: RNAcentral
AUGUUUGUGUGAAUAAAUAUUCAAUCUGACCUGCCCACUGAGAUUUUUAAAGGGCUGCGGUAAUUUGACCGUGCAAAGGUAGCAUAAUCAAUAGUCUUUUAAUUGGAGGCUUGAAUGAAAGGUUUGACGGAGGAAAGGCUGUCUCUAUUAGUUUAUUUUGAAUUUAACGUUUGUGUGAAAAGGCAUUAAUGGUUUAGAGGGACGAUAAGACCCUAUAAAACUUUACAUGUUUAUAUUAUUUAGUAUAAUUGUUGAGUAACUAUUAAAUGAUAUGUUGUGUUUUGCUGGGGCGGCAGGAAUAUAAUAUUAACUGUUCUUAGAUAUUAAAUAUUUAUUAAUAGAAAGUGGUCCUUUAUUUGAGAGGUAAGAGUAAGUUACUUUAGGGAUAACAGCAUAAUUUUUUUUGAGAGUUCAUAUCGAAGAAAAUAGUUGUGACCUCGAUGUUGAAUUAAAUUUUCUUUUAGGUGUAGCAGUUUAAGGAGAAGGCCUGUUCGGCCUAUAAAUAUUU